Molecule: unclassified non-coding RNA, 289 nt
Filed under: Hevea brasiliensis (rubber tree)
Lineage: Eukaryota; Viridiplantae; Streptophyta; Magnoliopsida; Malpighiales; Euphorbiaceae
Source: RNAcentral
UAGUAACGACUCUGGAUGUAGGAGUAAACAGUUCGAUCCUCCGUGCAUGCUGAUCCAAAGUCAAUUAUUUUAAUUUCUGCUGCCUUCACACCUGUGCAAAGAAGAAUGUUUUCAGGCUUCAAAUCACAAUGAAUUAUCCCAGCAUCCUUUAGUAGAGCCAAGCCACGUAGAAUCUGUUUAGAGAACAAUUGGACAAUGCUCAGUGAUAAGCCCCUGAAUUGAUUUAUCUUGAUAAGCUCAUACAGAUUUGUGUCAAGCAAUUCAAAGCAAAUGCACAAAUGCCGCUGAA